CGGAGGAUCCAAGCGUUAUCCGGAUUCAUUGGGUUUAAAGGGUGCGUAGGCGGAAUGAUGAGUCAGUGGUGAAAUCUCGGAGCUUAACUCCGAAACUGCCAUUGAUACUGUCAAUCUUGAGUACAUUUGAUGAGGGCGGAAUGUGUCAUGUAGCGGUGAAAUGCUUAGAUAUGACACAGAACACCGAUUGCGAAGGCAGCUCUCAAAACUGUAAUUGACGCUGAGGCACGAAAGCGUGGGUAUCAAACAGGAUUAGAUACCCUGGUAGUCCACGCUGUAAACUAUGAUUACUCGAUGUUUGCGAUAUACUGUAAGCGUCUAAGCGAAAGCGAUAAGUAAUCCACCUGGGGAGUACGCUCGCAAGAGUG
Molecule: ribosomal RNA, 368 nt
Filed under: uncultured organism
Description: bacterial SSU rRNA
Rfam family: Bacterial small subunit ribosomal RNA
Source: RNAcentral